UGUCGGCUCGUCGCAUCCUGGGGCUGAAGCAGGUCCCAAGGGUUGGGCUGUUCGCCCAUUAAAGCGGCACGCGAGCUGGGUUCAGACCGUCGUGAGACAGGUCGGUCUCUAUCCGUCGUGGGCGUCCGGAGAUUUGAGGGGAGCUUUCUCUAGUACGAGAGGAUUGAGAAGGACAGACCUCUGGUGUACCAGUUGUUCUGCCAAGGGCAUAGCUGGGUAGCUAAGUCUGGUUCGGAUAAGCGCUGAAAGCAUCUAAGUGCGAAGCCGGCCCCAAGAUUAUAUCUCCCAUCCCGAUUUAUCGGGAGUAAGACCACAAGUAGACUACUUGUUUGAUAGGCGGUGGGUGAAAGGGCAGUAAUGUCUUUAGCUUAACCGUACUAAUGGUCGAGGGCUUGACCUG
Molecule: ribosomal RNA, 400 nt
Filed under: Dehalococcoidales bacterium
Lineage: Bacteria; Bacillati; Chloroflexota; Dehalococcoidia; Dehalococcoidales
Description: partial 23S ribosomal RNA
Rfam family: Bacterial large subunit ribosomal RNA
Source: RNAcentral